Mus spicilegus (steppe mouse) is the source of this 339-nucleotide unclassified non-coding RNA. Its record names the gene 7SK. It matches the Rfam family "7SK RNA". From Rfam's summary of the family: 7SK was discovered as an abundant small nuclear RNA in the mid-70s but a possible function has only recently been suggested. The record is from Ensembl. NCBI's taxonomy places the organism in Eukaryota, Metazoa, Chordata, Mammalia, Rodentia, Muridae.
GGCUGUUAUGAACAUAGUGGAGCAUGUGUCCCUGUUAUAUGUUGGAGAAUCUUUUGAGUAUAUGCCCAGGGUUGAUUCGGUUGAUCUGGUUGGCUGGGCAUAUGUCCCUUUCCUCCCUUACCACUCCAUAUGCAUCCCUCCCAAAGUUUCACACUCCAUUAAAGUGGACAACCUUCCCCCAGUAGAGGAAAACCAGUCUUCAGUCAAAGUUUAUAUAUAAGUAGCAGUGCUCCUCUGCUAGAACCUCUAAACAAGAUCUCAAGACUAUAUUUGAUCUUAACGGGACUGAACUAUAAAUAAACCCUUAGACCCAUCUUAGCCUCUCAGCUGGGCUUUCUA